Molecule: ribosomal RNA, 430 nt
Filed under: uncultured bacterium
Lineage: Bacteria
Description: bacterial SSU rRNA
Rfam family: Bacterial small subunit ribosomal RNA
Source: RNAcentral
GUCGAGAAUCUUUCGCAAUGCCCGAAAGGGUGACGAUGCGACGCCGCGUGGAGGAUGAAGGCUUUCGGGUCGUAAACUCCUUUUAGUAGGGAAGAAUGGUGAGGAUCAAAUAGUACCCUCAUUUGACGGUACCUACAGAAGAAGCCACGGCUAACUCCGUGCCAGCAGCCGCGGUAAGACGGAGGUGGCGAGCGUUGCUCGGAUUUAUUGGGUGUAAAGGGUCUGUAGGCGGCCUUGUAAGUCAGAUGUGAAAUCCCACCGCUCAACGGUGGAACUGCAUUUGAAACUGCAAGGCUUGAGUGCGGUAGAGGUGAGGGGAAUUCCCGGUGUAAGAGUGAAAUCUGUAGAUAUCGGGAGGAACACCUGUGGCGAAGGCGCCUCACUGGGCCGUGUCUGACGCUGAUAGACGAAAGCUAGGGGAGCGAACAGG